AGCGAACGCUGGCGGCAGGCCUAACACAUGCAAGUCGAACGAACUCUUCGGAGUUAGUGGCGGACGGGUGAGUAACACGUGGGAACGUGCCUUUAGGUUCGGAAUAACUCAGGGAAACCUGUGCUAAUACCGAAUGUGCCCUUCGGGGGAAAGAUUUAUCGCCUUUAGAGCGGCCCGCGUCUGAUUAGCUAGUUGGUGAGGUAAAGGCUCACCAAGGCGACGAUCAGUAGCUGGUCUGAGAGGAUGAUCAGCCACAUUGGGACUGAGACACGGCCCAAACUCCUACGGGAAGCAGCAGUGGGGAAUCUUGCGCAAUGGGCGAAAGCCUGACGCGGCCAUGCCGCGUGAAUGAUGAAGGUCUUAGGAUUGUAAAAUUCUUUCACCGGGGACGAUAAUGACGGUACCCGGAGAAGAAGCCCCGGCUAACUUCGUGCCAGCCGCCGCGGUAA
This 449-nucleotide ribosomal RNA is filed under the name uncultured bacterium. RNAcentral describes it as "partial 16S ribosomal RNA". It matches the Rfam family "Bacterial small subunit ribosomal RNA", at positions 29 to 523 of the family's 1533-position model. The record is from RNAcentral.